CAGUAGCCGCGGGAAAACGAAGGGGGCUAGCGUUGCUCGGAAUGACUGGGCGUAAAGGGCGCGUAGGCGGAUGGCUUUGUCAGAUGUGAAAUUCCAGGGCUUAACCUUGGGGCUGCAUUUGAGACGGGUUGUCUAGAGUGGAGAAGAGGGUCGUGGAAUUCCCGGAGUAGCGGUGAAAUGCGCAGAUACCGGGAGGAACGCCGAUGGCGAAGGCAGCCACCUGGUCCACUUCUGACGCUGAGGCGCGAAAGCGUGGGGAGCAAACCGGAUUAGAUACCCCUGUAGUCCCUGUCUCUUAUAC
This 301-nucleotide ribosomal RNA is filed under the name uncultured bacterium. Its description in RNAcentral is "partial 16S ribosomal RNA". It matches the Rfam family "Bacterial small subunit ribosomal RNA", at positions 509 to 807 of the family's 1533-position model. The record is from RNAcentral.